UUUAUGAAUAGCAUAAAGAUAAAAGAAGAUAAAGGCAAGAAAUGAAUAAUGAAGAUGAGUCACCAAAAAUGUAAUCAAACAGACUUACGGACUAAGCAGGGUUAGAAAGGCAGUGUCAAUACCGUGUGGAGCUGGAGGAACACAGCAGAUCAGAGAAGCAGGAAGAGUCAACGUUUCUGUUUACACCCUUCAUCACAGAGGCAGGCAGGUUUGGGGAGAGAAGGCAUGGAAAUGAAGUCAGAGCAGAUGAAGAUGCAGCCACUGAAAACAGGACGAAGAAAAGGAGUGUGCUGGGCAUUAUUACACAACCACAGAAAAAUCAACAAGGACUUAAAGGCAGAAGAUACGAAAACCUGAACACAUGCACCUGCAGGUUCAAGAACAGCUUCUUCCCAGCUAUUAUUAGAUUGAAGAAUGGACUCGCUAGCCUCAAAUGAUGCUUAUUUGCUAAUGUCGAUCUCGCCUAGUGCACACUACGUGAAAUGUAACCUGUAUGCCUCUGUCUAAGUCUUUUUGAUUUGUACAUCAUUGCUUACUAUGAUCUGCUUGUCUAAUUGUAAACGAAGCUUUUCACUGUACUUGGGUACACGUGACAGUCAAUCAAUCAAUCCUUCAUGUGUCCUGAUUCCAAGGAUGACAAGAUAGUAUUGAACUAACAUUAAUCUUCAAGCUUCCAACCACCAAGGAUGCCUAAUCACUGCAAAGGGUCUUACAAUAGUAGAUAUUUGAAAGUAGUCACUUUUCCUAAUAUAAACAUAUCCCCAGUUAACCUUUCGCAGAAAUAGACUAAAAGUAAUAUUCAUUCUUGUACUUUUUGUUUCUGAGACUAGGAAUAGUUUGUAAUGGAAACAUCCAUCAUAAGUUUCACAGAUGUUUUUAAAUGGAAGCUAGAUAAAUAUAGUCUUGUUAAAAGUAAUUCCUAAGAUGUUGAUGUUGCUGCCUGAGCCAGUAUUUAUUGCCCAUCCCAAAUUAAUAGUUGGCCAUAUGACUGUAUGUCUGGAGUCAUGUGUAGGCCAGAGCAAAUGAGGAGAGCUGACUUCCCUUUCCUAAAGGACAUUAGUAAACAAGAUACAUUUUUAUAACAAUCGACAGAGGUUAUCUAUCAAUAGGCCUUCAUGUAGUGGAAAGAAAAGAAUUACAGGAUAAGUGUGGAUAAAGGAAGAUGAAGGGACUAUAGAACAUAAACACAGGGACAGACCAGUUGGGUCUGCUUCUGUGCUGCCUAUUCUAUGUAACCCUGAAUAGCUUAAUGUAUUAUCAAGCUUAUAUAUUUAGUCUCUCAUUAGCAAGUACUAAUGAGUAAUUGAAAUCUGGAGUCUUUUAGUUGUUAUGAAUGCUGUUAUGGCAAAAAUUGUUGCAUUCAUAAUUAUUUCCUCACCAAUGCCAUGAGAGCAGCUCCAAGACCAAUGAGAGGACUGACAGCAAUAAUAACGAGUGUAAGCUUCCAACCACUGACAAAUCCCAGGAGGAAUCCGCUGACAAAAGUAGUGAAACGUUGAAUAAAAAUUCCAACUUGUUCAGCGAUAGCAUCGUUGAUUUUAUUAAUAUCACUGCAAUAAGAUGGAGAAUUUUGAAGGCUCAUGUGUCAUCAAAAUGUCUUAACACAGUUGUAAUUUUAAAGUAUCAAA
Stegostoma tigrinum is the source of this 1628-nucleotide long non-coding RNA. RefSeq lists it as uncharacterized. The transcript is spliced from 3 exons. Lineage: Eukaryota; Metazoa; Chordata; Chondrichthyes; Orectolobiformes; Stegostomatidae. The record is from RefSeq and is a predicted model, not a curated record.